Molecule: ribosomal RNA, 452 nt
Filed under: uncultured organism
Description: partial 16S ribosomal RNA
Rfam family: Bacterial small subunit ribosomal RNA
Source: RNAcentral
ACACUCCUGCGGGAGGCAGCAGUGGGGAAUAUUGGACAAUGGGCGCAAGCCUGAUCCAGCCAUGCCGCGUGAGUGAUGAAGGCCCUAGGGUUGUAAAGCUCUUUCACCGGAGAAGAUAAUGACGGUAUCCGGAGAAGAAGCCCCGGCUAACUUCGUGCCAGCAGCCGCGGUAAUACGAAGGGGGCUAGCGUUGUUCGGAAUUACUGGGCGUAAAGCGCACGUAGGCGGAUCGAUCAGUCAGGGGUGAAAUCCCAGGGCUCAACCCUGGAACUGCCUUUGAUACUGUCGAUCUGGAGUAUGGAAGAGGUGAGUGGAAUUCCGAGUGUAGAGGUUAAAUUCGUAGAUAUUCGGAGGAACACCAGUGGCGAAGGCGGCUCACUGGUCCAUUACUGACGCUGAGGUGCGAAAGCGUGGGGAGCAAACAGGAUUAGAUACCCCGGUAGUCCCAUGAU